This is a non-coding RNA of Pelodiscus sinensis (Chinese soft-shelled turtle), 2772 nucleotides long. NCBI's taxonomy places the organism in Eukaryota, Metazoa, Chordata, Testudines, Trionychidae. The record is from RefSeq and is a predicted model, not a curated record.
CUUUUCAUGAAUACAAAUUUUCAUUUUUUUCCCACAUAGCUCUGUUAUUGAUCACAUGGGUGCACAGCUGAUGGGACUAUCUCCAGAGACUAACUGCUCUGGAUGCAAGAGCUCUUCAUUUAUCCAUAGAAGUGGUAUAGUACGGCCAAUGGCAAUGCAAGCUCUAUCACUGUGCCCUGUAACCGGACUUCUGGGUUUUUGUGGAGAGAUGGCCAUAGGGAAAGGAGAAGGCAGUGCAGUUACUUUCCAUGGCCAUUCAGUUGAUUUAAAAAAAAAAAAUGUCUGUUCUUUGUUGAGUAGCAUCCCUAUGGGCCAUGGAGGAUUUGCAGGCUUGGGUAGGCUGGCUCGCAGCUGGCCUGGCCUACCCCACCCACUCACCUGUUGGAGCUUAGAGGGUGCCCCACCAGCUCCAGAGUUUAUGGUAGAUCUGCAGGAAGUCAGCUGAGCAUAGUCCAUCCCUAUCCCGGAGUGUUGGGUGGUUUGAGAGCAUGGCCCCUAGUGCCCCAAGUACUGGGUGGGUGGGUGAUGUGAGCAUUGGCUCCAGCCGCCACUUGGAGUCCCUGACUGCAAGCCAGCCCUUGCUAGCUUCAGCCCAGGACACAGGUACCAGAAUGCUCCCAAAAGGUGAAGAGAGGAAGCCCCCUGCUUGUGUCCCAGCCCCAGGGCAGAUGGAGGGACCUAGGCUCCCCACAGUUGCCCAGGCAGCUCUUCCUGACCUGGCUCUGGCCUGGAGAAGAGGGUCUCUGAGCUGCAGCUUGGCUAUAACAGCUAUGCAGGAAGUUGUUGGGUGCUAUGGUGGAUUUCCCACCUGCCUGGACUGCAGAGAUGCUUCACUUUAGGUGUGCUUUCAACUUUCUAGUUCCAGAAAACCAAAACCCUUGGUACUCCCCUGCCCUGAGGCCUUGCCUCUGCCCCCUUGCUGUGGUCUUAUUUUCCUCCCUCCACCCCCUCAUUCCAUCCCCUCUCCCUGUAGCGGCAGACUGGGUCACUGAUCCUUAGGGGAUGCCCUUCACUUUCAUUGGCCAUUGGAUCUAUUGUAUGCAUUCCCACAACUUCUCUAAUAGUUCUCAAAUUUCUGCUCAAAAUAAAAAAGGACAAAGCCAGAGUCGUCCUUAUAUUCUGAUAUGGCCUAGUCAAACAUGAUUUCCUUACCUGCUACAGCUGCCCAAUUGUUCAUGAAUUGCUCUAUUGUGCCUCAUCUUCUGUCUUAGGAAAGUGGGAAGAUCCUUCACGUUUGUCUCAAAGCAUGGUUUACUAGUGGUUCACAGGAAGAGAACCUGCUCAGAGGAGGUGUACGUAUGGGUGAUCCAUUACCUGACUUCCUCUGGUAUAGGGUUCUUUGUGUUAAAGAAGAAACAGAGUGGCCUGCCUGUGCAGUUCUAUAUAACAAUGGCGUGAAACAUGAGGUUGACUAACCUGAACAUAUGGGCCAAAUAGACACUCCUGUGAGAUCUCCAAAAGGGCACAAGCAUCCCUAGGGAUCACAUACUGCACAGGAUGAAUACCAUUUCUUUCAAAAGGCAGCCUGAAAAUGCUUCAGCAAGAACAUUCUGGAAGCUUGUUGUCUAGACUGAUGUAAGUAUAAUAGCCAUCCAUAAUGGAUUUGUGAGAUGAUCCAUGAAAUUGACCAAAAAGUCUUUACUGCAGGAUAAAGGCUUUUGACUAAUCUUGUUUAAAAUUCAUUUUCUUAAUUUAGAAGGGAGGUAUGGGCCUGGUCAUUGGAACCUAAACACCUCUCAGCAUUUCAUUAAAUGAUGUCCUUGCAAUUUUAUGGUAAAUGCAAAUAGGAUUGGUUCACUCUCCUUUCUGUUUCAUUUGGUUUGUUGGAUUAUUUUUUUUCUUUCCUUUACAUAUGUCUGUAUAAUUUGCUUUGUGUUAAUCAAGAUAACCUCUCAGGUGCAGCUGUUAAUACAGCACCCUGAACUACUCUUAACAUCAGGUAAAAGAUAAUUGUGUGCGCACAUCCCAGGUAUUUUAUACAAAGAGAUUAACACUGGGAUUUGUACAACAAAAUACCAGUUGGGAUGUGUUGGUGCUAUGGAAAUACCAUACAAAGCUGUUCAGGGCUUGUACACAGCUCAGCAGCUUUGAGAUGUGUACACCCUAGCAUGUCUUUUUCUUGCUAGAGCAAAACUCAUCUCUAUUAAGAUUUUACUUAUCCAGAGAAACAUCACAAAUUAAAUUUUGUGAUUUGGUGGGUUGUUGGUUGUUCAUUUAUUUUGAUUUAUACAUCAUUUAUAACUGUCUAGCCAUACAUCAUAGGCUCCUUGACAACACAGCCAAAGUACAGUACAAUUUAAUGUAACUUAUAUCACCAGUGAACAAGGCCCCAAGUACUUGAAUUCUCCUUCCUCCCUUGUAAAUUUUUUUUUAAACUCCUCCACUUUGAAAUGCUAAGAGCAAGGAGCGGAGUGAAUUCCAAAGCUGUGACAUCUUUGCAGAGCAUGCCCAGCCAAAAGCCCCUCUCAUUUUUAUCCAUGAGCAGCCAUCUUAAGUACCUAUGCUGAUAUCAACUGUGGCAGAAUAGCAUGAUAGAGAAAUGGCCUAUAGCUAUUUAAGGCUUGAGAGGUCAAAACCAAGGCCUUAAGUUCAUCCUAAGAGAGUAGUGGUUUAAUAUGUUCAUGGUGAGAUUUUCUGUUUACCAAGCAAGUCAUUUUUUUUCCACACUAGCUUCACUGUCCAGAUGGUUUUAAAUGAAGACCUAUGUAGCUCUUGCAGUAUCCCUGGAGCAGGGUUACUCAACUUUGGAAGCCCCAGGAGCCCCAAUGAUAC